AUUGAACGCUAGCGGGAUGCUUUACACAUGCAAGUCGAACGGCAGCGCGGACUUCGGUCUGGCGGCGAGUGGCGAACGGGUGAGUAAUGUAUCGGAACGUGCCCAGUAGCGGGGGAUAACUACGCGAAAGCGUAGCUAAUACCGCAUACGCCCUACGGGGGAAAGCAGGGGAUCGUAAGACCUUGCACUAUUGGAGCGGCCGAUAUCGGAUUAGCUAGUUGGUGAGGUAACGGCUCACCAAGGCGACGAUCCGUAGCUGGUUUGAGAGGACGACCAGCCACACUGGGACUGAGACACGGCCCAGACUCCUACGGGAGGCAGCAGUGGGGAAUUUUGGACAAUGGGGGCAACCCUGAUCCAGCCAUCCCGCGUGUGCGAUGAAGGCCUUCGGGUUGUAAAGCACUUUUGGCAGGAAAGAAACGUCGCGGGCUAAUACCUCGUGGAACUGACGGUACCUGCAGAAUAAGCACCGGCUAACUACGUG
RNAcentral lists this ribosomal RNA (484 nucleotides) under uncultured bacterium. Its description in RNAcentral is "partial 16S ribosomal RNA". It matches the Rfam family "Bacterial small subunit ribosomal RNA", at positions 30 to 507 of the family's 1533-position model. The record is from RNAcentral.